UGGGAAGAAAUUGGUGAGGUGGAUGAAAACUAUGCUCCGAUACACACAUACCAAGUAUGCAAGGUAAUGGAACAGAAUCAGAACAACUGGCUUCUGACCAGCUGGAUCUCUAAUGAAGGGGCAUCCCGCAUCUUCAUUGAGCUCAAAUUCACCCUGAGGGACUGUAACAGCCUUCCAGGAGGACUUGGGACUUGCAAAGAGACUUUUAACAUGUAUUACUUUGAAUCAGAUGAUGAAGAUGGGAGGAAUAUCAAAGAAAACCAGUACAUCAAGAUCGAUACCAUUGCUGCUGAUGAGAGCUUCACAGAGUUAGACCUUGGUGACAGAGUUAUGAAGCUAAACACAGAGGUGAGAGAUGUCGGGCCCCUAACGAAAAAGGGAUUUUACCUUGCUUUCCAGGAUGUGGGUGCCUGCAUCGCCCUGGUCUCUGUGCGUGUGUACUACAAGAAAUGCCCAUCGGUGAUCCGCAACCUGGCCCGCUUUCCUGACACCAUCACAGGAGCGGAUUCCUCGCAGCUGCUAGAGGUGGCAGGCGUCUGUGUCAACCACUCAGUGACCGAGGAGGCGCCGAAGAUGCACUGCAGUGCUGAGGGGGAAUGGCUGGUGCCUAUCGGGAAGUGCUUGUGCAAGGCAGGGUAUGAGGAGAAGAACAACACCUGCCAAGGUAAGGGUCUGCUGGGAGGGUGCUGUGCUGACGCUGCUGAGGUCUUCGCUUUCUUUUCUUCCAUGUCUUUAAUGCCUGGUUGCGUUGACAAUGGUGGGUCAGGUUCUCACUUCCACUGAG
This is a non-coding RNA of Pelecanus crispus (Dalmatian pelican), 784 nucleotides long. NCBI's taxonomy places the organism in Eukaryota, Metazoa, Chordata, Aves, Pelecaniformes, Pelecanidae. The record is from RefSeq and is a predicted model, not a curated record.